AGGUUAAGUUAAUAAGGGCGCACGGUGGAUGCCUUGGCACUAGAAGCCGAAGAAGGACGUGACAAACGACGAAAUGCUUUGGGGAGCUGUAAGUAAGCGCUGAUCCAGAGAUGUCCGAAUGGGGGAACCCACUAACUAAUGGUUAGUAUCCAUAACUGUUAAGGUUAUGAGAAGGAAGACGCAGUGAACUGAAACAUCUAAGUAGCUGCAGGAAGAGAAAGCAAACGCGAUUGCCUUAGUAGCGGCGAGCGAAACGGCAGGAGGGCAAACCGAAGUGUUUACACUUCGGGGUUGUAGGACUGCGACGUGGGACUUUAAAAGGAUAGAAGAAUUACCUGGGAAGGUAAGCCAAAGAGAGUAAAAGCCUCGUAUUUAAAAUUCUUUUGAGCCCUAGCAGUAUCCUGAGUACGGCGAGACACGUGAAAUCUCGUUGGAAUCUGGGAGGACCAUCUCCCAACCCUAAAUACUCUCUAGUGACCGAUAGUGAACCAGUACCGUGAGGGAAAGGUGAAAAGCACCCCGGGAGGGGAGUGAAAUAGAACCUGAAACCGUGUGCCUACAACAAGUUCGAGCCCGUUAAUGGGUGAGAGCGUGCCUUUUGUAGAAUGAACCGGCGAGUUACGAUAUGAUGCGAGGUUAAGUUGAAGAGACGGAGCCGUAGGGAAACCGAGUCUUAAUAGGGCGAUUUAGUAUCAUGUUGUAGACCCGAAACCAUGUGACCUACCCAUGAGCAGGUUGAAGGUGAGGUAAAACUCACUGGAGGACCGAACCAGGGCACGUUGAAAAGUGCUUGGAUGACUUGUGGGUAGCGGAGAAAUUCCAAACGAACUUGGAGAUAGCUGGUUCUCUCCGAAAUAGCUUUAGGGCUAGCGUCGAUGUUAAGUCUCUUGGAGGUAGAGCACUGUUUGGGUGAGGGGUCCAUCUCGGAUUACCAAUCUCAGAUAAACUCCGAAUGCCAACGAGAUAUCAUCGGCAGUCAGACUGCGAGUGCUAAGAUCCGUAGUCGAAAGGGAAACAGCCCAGACCACCAGCUAAGGUCCCAAAAUAACUGUUAAGUGGAAAAGGAUGUGGGGUUGCACAGACAACUAGGAUGUUAGCUUAGAAGCAGCUAUUCAUUCAAAGAGUGCGUAAUAGCUCACUAGUCGAGUGACCCUGCGCCGAAAAUGUACCGGGGCUAAAACAGUUUACCGAAGCUGUGGAUGACACAAAAGUGUCAUGGUAGGAGAGCGUUCUAUGUGUGAAGAAGGUGUACCGUGAGGAGCGCUGGAACGCAUAGAAGUGAGAAUGCCGGUAUGAGUAGCGAAAGACAGGUGAGAAUCCUGUCCACCGUAAGACUAAGGUUUCCAGGGGAAGGCUCGUCCGCCCUGGGUUAGUCGGGACCUAAGGAGAGACCGAAAGGUGUAUCCGAUGGCCAACAGGUUGAUAUUCCUGUACUAGAGUAUAUAGUGAUGGAGGGACGCAGUAGGCUAACUAAACCGGACGAUUGGAAGAGUCCGGCUAAGCAGUGAGGUGUAAGAUGAGUCAAAUGCUUAUCUUUAUAACAUUGAGCUGUGAUGGGGAGCGAAUUUUAGUAGCGAAGUUAGUGAUGUCACACUGCCAAGAAAAGCUUCUAGCGUUUAAUGAUACUCUACCCGUACCGCAAACCGACACAGGUAGUCGAGGCGAGUAGCCUCAGGUGAUCGAGAGAACUCUCGUUAAGGAACUCGGCAAAAUGACCCCGUAACUUCGGGAGAAGGGGUGCUGACUUAGGUCAGCCGCAGUGAAUAGGCCCAAGCAACUGUUUAUCAAAAACACAGCUCUCUGCUAAAUCGUAAGAUGAUGUAUAGGGGGUGACGCCUGCCCGGUGCUGGAAGG
Molecule: ribosomal RNA, 1854 nt
Filed under: Streptococcus pyogenes
Lineage: Bacteria; Bacillati; Bacillota; Bacilli; Lactobacillales; Streptococcaceae
Description: bacterial LSU rRNA
Rfam family: Bacterial large subunit ribosomal RNA
Source: RNAcentral